ACGCUGAAAGCAUCUAAGUGUGAAGCCCACCUCAAGAUGAGAUUUCCCAUGAUUUUAUAUCAGUAAGAGCCCUGAGAGAUGAUCAGGUAGAUAGGUUAGAAGUGGAAGUGUGGUGACACAUGUAGCGGACUAAUACUAAUAGCUCGAGGACUUAUCCA
Molecule: ribosomal RNA, 158 nt
Filed under: Streptococcus gallolyticus
Lineage: Bacteria; Bacillati; Bacillota; Bacilli; Lactobacillales; Streptococcaceae
Description: 23S rRNA. Bacterial LSU
Rfam family: Bacterial large subunit ribosomal RNA
Source: RNAcentral